UACGUAGGGGCAAGCGUUGUCCGGAAUUAUUGGGCGUAAAGAGCUCGUAGGCGGCUCAGCAAGUCGGCUGUGAAAUCCCGAGGCUCAACCUCGGAACUGCAGUCGAUACUGCUGUGGCUAGAGUCUGGUAUAGGAGAAUGGAAUUCCCGGUGUAGCGGUGAAAUGCGCAGAUAUCGGGAGGAACACCAGUAGCGAAGGCGGUUCUCUGGGCCAGUACUGACGCUGAGGAGCGAAAGCGUGGGUAGCAAACAGGAUUA
Molecule: ribosomal RNA, 257 nt
Filed under: uncultured prokaryote
Description: partial 16S ribosomal RNA
Rfam family: Bacterial small subunit ribosomal RNA
Source: RNAcentral